Molecule: long non-coding RNA, 1478 nt
Filed under: Equus caballus (horse)
Lineage: Eukaryota; Metazoa; Chordata; Mammalia; Perissodactyla; Equidae
Description: lncRNA (ENSECAG00000050365.1)
Source: RNAcentral
GUACAAGUGAGUGCCCCCUUAAAUUUUGCACCCCAGGCACCUCACUUGCUUCCCUCUCAUUCCAGCCCUGUCACGCAGGCCUAGAUUUGUGACCCUGCUCAGCCACUUACAAGCUGUGUGACCUUCAGCAAGUCGCUUAAGCUCUCUGAGACUUGUUUUCCUCCUCUAAGCAUGGGCACAGGAAGCAUACUCACCCUGCUCACCUUGCAGGGCUGUAGUGAGGAUCAGACAGGAUGGAGAGGAAGGAGCUUUGGGAAUGAAAAGACCCUGGACAGAGGUGGUAUUGAGAGUGUGGGAGCAGCUUGCAGCCCUCAGGAGGAUGGAGCCCCUCCUCCAGGGAUGUUUAGCGUCAUAACCUGGUGUGCUUUGCUGCCGUGGCCCACCCUCUGGAUUUCCUGCCUCGAACUCACAUGUGGUGUGCGUGAUGUAGGUUUCUGUUUCCUUGUCUGUGAAAUAAGAGGUUGGACCAGAUGAGUUCUUAGUUCUAUGAUUCCACGAAUGUCUUAGAAAGCAAAAUGCACAGAGCCAAAUUUCCUUUGCCAUGCCGAACGCCGGGGCAGCGGAGCCAGCAGUGUCGAUGCUGUAAAGCCCCAAGGAGAGUUCUAGACGGAAGGGCGCUGCUGUGUCCUGGUAAUGAUGUCAGGUGACUCAGACAGGUCUGGGACUCGAGAAGCUGGCUGUCUUGUCUGAACCUCCUUUGAAGUGGUGGUUUGCAACACUUUUACGAACUGGAGGUUGAACGAGAACAUGAAAGUCAUCUCAUUGGUAUGUUGUAUUUUCCCAAACACUCCAUUUCAAAUCAAAACAUGGAAACAACUGUCUUAUUUUAGGAUUAUGCUUUGUAUUUGAACAUGCUGCUUACCAUCUAUUAGCUGACGGGGCUCUGGGACGCUCAGAGAACGAGUGACUGAGGUUUCCAGUCCUAAGGAGGUUGCUUUCAGCUCAGUCCAGGGAAGGAGAUUUUAACAAGCUGAGCUGGCCUUUUGAGAUGGGGAAAAUCUGAAGCACACGCUGGUUGAGAAAUUUGCCCAAGGCCCCACAGCCAGUUCCAGCACUGAUGGUUGCCACGGACAUUAUUUCCUUCAGUUUAUGACAGCCCUGAGAAGUCACUGGUCACGGAUAGCGUUGGUUCAUGAGAGCUGAUUGCUAAAUUUCCAGGAAUUUUGAGUCAGUUGUUAAACAUAGCCAUUAUUCAAUAGAUGGAGAUGGAAUCCUGGCUUUGCCACUUACCAGCUAGGUGACCUCGCCACGUGGCAAAAGCUACAAAGGAGUGAGGAGGGUUUGGAAACAGGCCCCUCUAGAGUCAAGUCUCGGCUUCGGUCUGACUAUCUGCGUCAGUUUUCUCGUCUGUAAAUGGGGAGCAGCUGCUGUUGAUAGCAGUAUCUGUUGUAUCUCUCACACGCUUUUGAAGGUUUGCUGAAUACUCACUAUGUGCCGAGCAUUGUUCUAAGCUCCUUGCUGAUAUUUUCUUAUUAAUG